CUUGACGGAGCCGAGCAUCAGCGGAUGCACCCGGUCCUGGCCGUAGGUGGCCAGCAGCGCCUGCGCCUC
RNAcentral lists this antisense RNA (69 nucleotides) under Streptomyces sp. CG 926. Its description in RNAcentral is "ASpks TB sRNA". It matches the Rfam family "ASpks TB sRNA". The record is from RNAcentral. Lineage: Bacteria; Bacillati; Actinomycetota; Actinomycetes; Kitasatosporales; Streptomycetaceae.